AUUGAACGCUGGCGGCAUGCCUUACACAUGCAAGUCGAACGGCAGCACGGGAGCAAUCCUGGUGGCGAGUGGCGAACGGGUGAGUAAUAUAUCGGAACGUGCCCAGUCGUGGGGGAUAACGCAGCGAAAGCUGUGCUAAUACCGCAUACGAUCUAAGGAUGAAAGCGGGGGAUCGCAAGACCUCGCGCCAUGGGAGCGGCCGAUAUCCGAUUAGCUAGUUGGUGGGGUAAAGGCCCACCAAGGCGACGAUCUGUAGCUGGUCUGAGAGGACGACCAGCCACACUGGAACUGAGACACGGUCCAGACUCCUACGGGAGGCAGCAGUGGGGAAUUUUGGACAAUGGGCGCAAGCCUGAUCCAGCAAUGCCGCGUGCAGGAUGAAGGCCUUCGGGUUGUAAACUGCUUUUGUACGGAACGAAACGGCCCUUUCUAAUACAGGGGGCUAAUGACGGUACCGUAAGAAUAAGCACCGGCUAACUACGUGCCAGCCGCCGCUGUAA
Molecule: ribosomal RNA, 500 nt
Filed under: uncultured bacterium
Lineage: Bacteria
Description: partial 16S ribosomal RNA
Rfam family: Bacterial small subunit ribosomal RNA
Source: RNAcentral